AAUUCGUUACGUAACCGCAUUUUGACCGCAACGAAACGGAAAAAAAAUGUCCGCAACGGGGUUCUGGCGACCGCAACGGGGUUCCGGCGACCGCAACAGGGUUUUCCGAUCAUCAAACACCGUUCUGUUUAGCUCCUGGAAGGUAAAAAACAAAUUAUUUAGGAAUCUUAUCUCAUUCAGAUCUCCAAAAAAGGACCAACCUUAUCUUUUCACCUCUUUUACUCUGUACUCAGUUCUGUCUCUGCCUCUGCCUCUGGGUCUCAACUCUCUGCCAGUGUUUUAAAUUACGGAUGCGGUCGCGGUCGCGGUUGCGGUCGUUGCGGAUGCGGGUAAUGCGGUUACCGCAAUGCGGGUUGCGGCCGUUGCGGUGUGAUU
Molecule: long non-coding RNA, 375 nt
Filed under: Lotus japonicus
Lineage: Eukaryota; Viridiplantae; Streptophyta; Magnoliopsida; Fabales; Fabaceae
Description: long non-coding RNA (LJAP_LNC001583)
Source: RNAcentral